This 90-nucleotide transfer RNA is filed under the name Herbidospora sp. NBRC 101105. RNAcentral's name for it is "tRNA-Cys". The record is from RNAcentral. Lineage: Bacteria; Bacillati; Actinomycetota; Actinomycetes; Streptosporangiales; Streptosporangiaceae.
GCGUGCAUGCCGAAGCGGAACGGCAUCACCUGCAGGGUGAUGUUGGGCAGCCGGGCCACGUCGAGCAGAUGCUCGAUCUGCUCGCGCAUG